This 623-nucleotide ribosomal RNA is filed under the name uncultured bacterium. RNAcentral describes it as "bacterial SSU rRNA". It matches the Rfam family "Bacterial small subunit ribosomal RNA", at positions 36 to 691 of the family's 1533-position model. The record is from RNAcentral.
CUGGCGGCGUGCCUAACACAUGCAAGUCGAACGAGAAAGUGGAGCAAUCCAUGAGUAAAGUGGCGACCGGGUGAGUAACACGUGACUGACCUACCUCCGAGUGGGGAAUAACUCCGGGAAACCGGGGCUAAUACCGCAUAACAUCGCAAGAUCAAAGCAGCAAUGCGCUUGGAGAGGGGGUCGCGGCUGAUUAGCUCGUUGGCGGGGUAACGGCCCACCAAGGCGAAGAUCGGUAUCCGGCCUGAGAGGGCGCACGGACACACUGGAACUGAAACACGGUCCAGACUCCUACGGGAGGCAGCAGUGGGGAAUUUUGCGCAAUGGGGGAAGCCCUGACGCAGCAACGCCGCGUGGAGGAUGAAGCCCUUUGGGGCGUAAACUCCUUUCGACUCGGACGAUAAUGACGGUACGAGUGGAAGAAGCACCGGCUAACUCUGUGCCAGCAGCCGCGGUAAUACAGAGGGUGCGAGCGUUGUUCGGAAUUAUUGGGCGUAAAGGGCGCGUANGCGGUGCGGUAAGUCACCUGUGAAAUCUCCCGGCUUAACUGGGAGCCUGCAGGCGAAACUACCGUGCUGGAGUGUGGGAGAGGUGCGUGGAAUUCCCGGUGUAGCGGUGAAAUGCGU